AUGUACUAUACCAUAGUGUUGAGUCAUGC
RNAcentral lists this transfer RNA (29 nucleotides) under Hemibagrus guttatus. RNAcentral's name for it is "partial tRNA-Pro". Lineage: Eukaryota; Metazoa; Chordata; Actinopteri; Siluriformes; Bagridae. The record is from RNAcentral.